RNAcentral lists this ribosomal RNA (117 nucleotides) under Chloroflexota bacterium. RNAcentral also lists the same sequence under 2 other names. The record is from RNAcentral. Lineage: Bacteria; Bacillati; Chloroflexota.
GUUGGUGGUUGGAGCGGCGGGGGUCCACCCGGUCCCAUCCCGAACCCGGCAGUUAAGCCCGUCAGCGCCGAUGGUACUGGGGGAGUCGUCCUCUGGGAGAGUAGGUCACUGCCAACU